This 123-nucleotide ribosomal RNA is filed under the name Bison bison bison. Lineage: Eukaryota; Metazoa; Chordata; Mammalia; Artiodactyla; Bovidae. The record is from RNAcentral.
GUCUCAGGCCGGAUCAGCCUGAAGGCGCCCGAUCUUCGUCUGAUCUCGGAAGUCUAAGCAGGGUCGGGCCUGGUUAGUAUCUUUGGAUGGGAGACCACCUGGGAAUCCCGGGUGCUCGAGGCU